Molecule: ribosomal RNA, 300 nt
Filed under: uncultured bacterium
Lineage: Bacteria
Description: bacterial SSU rRNA
Rfam family: Bacterial small subunit ribosomal RNA
Source: RNAcentral
GCGUGCAGGACGAAGGCCUUCGGGUUGUAAACUGCUUUUGUACGGAGCGAAAAAGUCUUCUUUAAUACAGAGGGCUCAUGACGGUACCGUAAGAAUAAGCACCGGCUAACUACGUGCCAGCAGCCGCGGUAAUACGUAGGGUGCAAGCGUUAAUCGGAAUUACUGGGCGUAAAGCGUCCGCAGGCGGUUCUAUAAGACAGAUGUGAAAUCCCUGGGCUCAACCUAGGAACUGCAUUUGUGACUGUAGAGCUAGAGUACGGCAGAGGGGGAUGGAAUUCCGCGUGUAGCAGUGAAAUGCGU